GGGGCCGGAGGGCGCGGCGCGAUGAGUCGAGAAACGGCCGGCGGGCACGGCGCGAUGAGUCGAGAAACGAUGGUUCGAAGCAGAAUCGACGGAGCGGAAUCCACGCGAGUUUAUAGACAUUUAUUCUUCAGUUUUUGGAUAAUUAUUCCAGGUAAAUAAUUGUCAUUAAAUUUUUUUUAUGAUAUUGGUUAUAUUUAAUUCACUGAUUAAAGGGUUCCGUUUUUUGAAUAAUUGCAAAAUUAUUA
Molecule: long non-coding RNA, 245 nt
Filed under: Ananas comosus (pineapple)
Lineage: Eukaryota; Viridiplantae; Streptophyta; Magnoliopsida; Poales; Bromeliaceae
Description: long non-coding RNA (ACOM_LNC034776)
Source: RNAcentral